CUUGAAUGCCUUUUUGUCUGUCAUAGCAUUGACAUUCUUUAGAGAUCAGCUUAGUCUUUUGCAGAAUGUCUCUUAAUUUGGAUUUGUAUGAUUAUUUCUUCUUGAUUGGAUUCAGGUUAAAUAUUUUUGGUAGAACUAUAUAGGUUAAUACAGUAGUUUGAUUAAUGAAGCUAGAAGACCUAUGGAAGAUUAUUCAAUUUUGCAUGACAGUAUCUAAUUUAGCACUUGCUUUUAUUAUCUAAUCUGUAAGCCCAAUAAGGAAUUGAGAGAAGAGAGAACUCAGUAGGACCUGGAAGAACUAGGGCAGACUUUGGGAGGAAGACGGGAUUCAGAGAUGGACAGAAUUGGAGGCAGUUGGAAUAUGGUUAGAUAAGCCACUGUUUGGGCUUCCCAUCCCACUGUUAGGGCUAUACUAUAUCAAGAAAAGUGAAUUUCCUCUUCAGAGUUUAGAGCUCUGUAUCUUCCAUGGUGAUUAUACUACUUUAGAAAGCCUGAUAAUUUACAACUCUUGCUUUGCCUUCAGACAGGCCUAGAGACUGUACCCAACAUUUUGCCAGCUGCCUAACCUUGCGGAAGUUUCCUCACUUGCAAGCUAGAAAGGGUGUUAAUAAAUCUACAAAAGGUUAUUGUGAUGCUCAUAGUGAAAUAUUGUAUAAAUAUUUAAAUUGCAAUAUUUGAAUGCCUUUAUGUGGGGGCAGAAACUCCCUAGUUCUGCCAUAUGCCCACUGGAGCAUUUAUUUCUAUUACCUGCCUAACCCCUGAAGGGGUUUGAAUUUAUCACUGCUGGAUAACUGAGGGCAUGGAAAUGAGAAAGGGCUUGGCUCAUACAGAGAGAAGUGGGAAGACUGGCUUGAUUAGUUCAGAGUGUACACUGUGGACUAGUGGGAAAUAAAGUUGAAUAAAUGACUUGAGGCCAUAUAAUGGAGGACUUGGAAAGUUAAGCCAAAGAAUUCUGAUAUGAUGCUUUAGGCUGAAGAAAACCCUGAAAGAUUUUGAGCAGGAGAGACACACUUGGAAAUGAGAGUGGUAUGGAGCCUCCUGAGGAAGGACCUUUCCUGGUUUGGAGACUGGAAUCCUAAUAGGGCAGGGCCUUCCCACUGCUGACCAAAGGAGGGUGUGGUUUGGCAGUCUUGCCACAAGAGGCCAGAAUUUCUGCCCCAGUGACUCUUCCUGUUUUGCCACUGACUCACCCCAUUGACCUGUGCUGCGUGGCUUCCCUUCCAGUUGCUGUCUGAUCUACAGAACACUGGGGCUGCCCAAGAUGAUGUGAGAUGAUGUGAGGCAACAGUGGGUGGGAUGGGGGAAUGAACAAGCAUUCCUGUCCCUUUGCCCCUUCCCUGGGUAGAGGCUAAUUCUAAGCUAGACUGCCAGGGAUCGCUUUGUCCGAGCCUGAGGAAGCUGUCCACCAGGAGAGAACCACUAAAAGAAUGCCUGCUGAGGGCCGGCUGGGUAGCACAGCCGUUAAGGGCGCAUGUUCCACUUCGGUGGCCCGGGGUUGGCCGGUUCAGAUCCUGGGUGCGGACAUGGCAUCACUUGGUACGCUAUGCUGUGGUAGGUGUCCCACAUAUAAAGUAGAGGAAGAUGGGCAUGGAUGUUAGCUCAGGGCCAGUCUUCCUCAGCAAAAAGAGGAGGAUUGGCAGGAGUUAGCUCAGGGUUAAUCUUCCUCAAAAAAAGGAAGGAAGGAAGGAAGGAAGGAAGAAUGCCUGCUUACUUGAAUGAGAAAAUGCAGCAUUCUUUCUUUGAUCAUUAAUUUGUCAUUCAUAAUACUAGAUAAAGUUAACUUGCUUGGAGAGUAUGCCAGCUUUUUUUUGCCAUUAUUAUAUAAAAUCAAAAUUUCGGAGAGGAUGGAAGGAGAAAGUAGGGGGGUCACUGAUAUGAAGCCCUGUUUGCUAAAAUGACCUUUGGAAAUUAAAGGAAAAGGAAACAAGUUACCCUCAAUUUUCCACUUAUAAAAUAGGGAUGAUGGCACCUUCUCCUUCUGCCCUACAGAAACUGAAUGGCCUGAAAAUCCAUGGCCUGGAUCUUCAGAAGGGUAGGGUCUAGAGGGGAGAAUCAACCUUCCUUUCCCACAAAGGUCAGGGCUCUAGCUCUUAGCAGUUGGCUGGACAUGCUGGAAAUGUUCGGCUGCUUCCUAGUGAAUCUCCUCUCUACAAGCUAAAGGGAAGGAGAGACACCUUGUGUGUGUGUGUGUGUUUAGCAGCAGACAUAGUGGGGCUUGCUUUGAUUUCAUAUCAUCAUUGUAGUGUGUGAGUGGGAGCUAUAUUGCUUGUCAAAGUCUCUGAAGAACAUUAGGAACUAGAUCUGUUUCCCAUUAGUUGAAAUUAAAGAGACAAGGACGAUGAAGAACAGCACCUAGGAAACCCUUUAGGGUAGUGUCCCAACUCAGAAGUAGAGGGAUGUCUUUUGACUUCAUUUGAAUGUUUUGGGCUUUUUUCUUCAAUAUUAUAUACUAGACCUAUACGACAUAUAAAUUUAUUUAAAGAUGAGCCGCACUGUCUAAUAUAGCCACACUCUAGUCAAUUAGACAAUUAUUUUCCAUUAAGAAACUUUUCUUUAGGUGUUAAAUGUGAAUUACUGUUUUAUUUAGACCCAGGUAGCAAAUAUUUUAAGCUUUGCAGGCCAUAUAAUCUCAACUACUCACCUCUGCCAUUAGUAAACAAAAUGCAGGCCAUAGUUUGUUGACCACCACAUAGCAGGAAAUACAUUAGGUAGUCAGAAGGUCUAGUAUUGAUGGGAAGUCGUUCAAAAACUUAGCUUUGACAUUUGCUACUUACUAGCUGUGUCACCUUAGCCUCUCUGAGUCCUCAUGUUUAAAAUCAAAGUGGUAAUACUUUCCAUAAAAAAAUAAGAAUGACCAAUUACAUAUAUGGAUAGAUGUUUAACUUUUCUGGAAGUCAGGAUAACAUAAAUUAAAACAAUAAUAUAUUGUUUUCUAUCCUUUAUGUUGGCAAAAUAAAAAAAUAAUAUCUAUUGUUGGAAGGGUGUAGAAACAGGAAUUUUUAUGUUCUGUUGGUGGGACUAUAAAUUGGUAUACCUUUUUGGAUGGUAAUUUGGGAGCACCUAUCAACGUUUAACGUGCACAACUUUAGCAAUUCCAAUUGUUGGUAUAUAUCCUAAAGAAAUACUAGUUUGUAUGUAAGAAGAGGUGUGUACCAGUAUUAUUGAUGCAGCAGUCUUUGUCAUGACAGAAAACACUGAACAACCUAAAUGUCCAGACAUAGCAAAAUGGGAAAAUAAAGUUGUGGCACAACCUCACUGUGGCAUUUUUUCUCAAGCUUUUAAAAGUAUGAGGAAUCUAUUAUAUACUGAUGUGGAAACUUAUCAUAGAAGUUUUUAAGUAAAAGUAAGUUGCAGAAAACUUAUAGUGUGAUUACAAGUGUGUAGACCAAAUGCACACAAAAACUCUUUAUCUACCUACACACGUAUAUACAUAUAUAUGUGUAUCUACACAUAUAUGUGUAUCUCUAUACAUACUUGUAUAUAUACAUAUAGAUGUGUGCAUGCUUGGGAGAAGUCUGAAAGGUUAUAUAACAAACUUAAGAUAGUGGUCACCUCUGAGGAGGGGAGUGCCUUUGGCAAAUGUGGGUUAAGGUUUGGUGAAUGGAGAGUUUUGCAUUUUACUCUAUAUACUUCUAUGUUAUAUUAUUUUAUAGCAGUAAUGUAUUCUUUCUCCUGACCACUUGUUUGGAUAGCUGGUGGGCCUAUCUGCACUUGCCAGGGCUGUGACAGAGUAGGGCUAAUUCCCCAAGCCAGCUUGGCCCACAUCACUUCAGUUGGAAUCAGCUGCUGAGCCAGAGCAAGGAGC
This 3805-nucleotide long non-coding RNA is filed under the name Equus caballus (horse). RNAcentral describes it as "lncRNA (ENSECAG00000051515.1)". The record is from RNAcentral. Lineage: Eukaryota; Metazoa; Chordata; Mammalia; Perissodactyla; Equidae.